ACGUUCGGAUUGCAGUCUGCAACUCGAGUGCAUGAAGCUGGAAUCGCUAGUAAUCGCGAAUCAGAAUGUCGCGGUGAAUACGUUCCCGGGUCUUGUACACACCGCCCGUCACACCAUGGGAGCCGACAACGCCCGAAGUCAGUGACCUAACCGAGAGGGAGGAGCUGCCGAAGGCGGGGUUGGUAACUGGGGUGAAGUCGUAACAAGGUAGC
This 212-nucleotide ribosomal RNA is filed under the name uncultured bacterium. RNAcentral describes it as "partial 16S ribosomal RNA". It matches the Rfam family "Bacterial small subunit ribosomal RNA", at positions 1288 to 1500 of the family's 1533-position model. The record is from RNAcentral.